GUAACUUCAGCAACGUUAAGCCCUCCACUGAACCAGCCCGAGGCAACACAACUUCUCCUGUUUCAUUAUCGCCCGACCUGCAUUGGAACAUUCAUGAUGCGAUAAUGAAAACUGGAUCAGCGUUUGGUGGUUCCGUCGGUACAGGAACAUUAUCAGUGACAUCAUCGCGCUGUGCUUUUAAAGGCGCCAACUUCGACUGCAUCGGCAGUGGGCACGGUGACUCUACUAUGUGGCGGAUCGAAAAAAGCAGAAAAUGCCUUUUCUGCUUUUUAUGCAGUGCUGUCAUUUCCCAAUUCCUGAUCCAGUGCGGCAAUAUCGAGGCCAACCCCGGACCCCAAUCAAAACAGCUAGACACUGUGUUGCAGUUGCUACAAGACUUGAAUAAACGCUCAUCUGCGUUUCAAAGGGGACAGUCUGAGCUCAUGUUUGCCGUUGCCGAGGUAGAGCGUUCACAAAAAGAAAUAUCCGGGAAGAUUAACGAUAUCUCUAGCAGACUGUCGGCAGUAGAAACUAAGGUCGGGAUGUUUGAGCAGGUAUAGGAUGUGACAUUACCACGUUAGAAACUGAAAACAAGUUCUUGAAGACACGUCUACCAGAAUUAGAGGAUCGCUUAAGACAUGAUAACCUUGUUUUUCAUGGCAUCGAUGAUGACAUUUCUGAAACGUGGGCUCAAAUUGAAGUAAAGCUGAUUUCUCUUA
This is a long non-coding RNA of Ornithodoros turicata, 698 nucleotides long. RefSeq lists it as uncharacterized. The transcript has 2 exons. The record is from RefSeq and is a predicted model, not a curated record. Lineage: Eukaryota; Metazoa; Arthropoda; Arachnida; Ixodida; Argasidae.